Molecule: ribosomal RNA, 700 nt
Filed under: uncultured Mycobacterium sp.
Lineage: Bacteria; Bacillati; Actinomycetota; Actinomycetes; Mycobacteriales; Mycobacteriaceae
Description: bacterial SSU rRNA
Rfam family: Bacterial small subunit ribosomal RNA
Source: RNAcentral
GCACUUCGGGAUAAGCUUGGGAAACUGGGUCUAAUACCGGAUAGGACCAUGGCCUGCAUGGGUUGUGGUGGAAAGCUUUUGCGGUGUGGGAUGGGCCCGCGGCCUAUCAGCUUGUUGGUGGGGUGAUGGCCUACCAAGGCGACGACGGGUAGCCGGCCUGAGAGGGUGUCCGGCCACACUGGGACUGAGAUACGGCCCAGACUCCUACGGGAGGCAGCAGUGGGGAAUAUUGCACAAUGGGCGCAAGCCUGAUGCAGCGACGCCGCGUGGGGGAUGACGGCCUUCGGGUUGUAAACCUCUUUCACCAUCGGCGAAGCCGGGAGCUUUUGUUUCUGGUGACGGUAGGUGGAGAAGAAGCACCGGCCAACUACGUGCCAGCAGCCGCGGUAAUACGUAAGGUGCGAGCGUUGUCCGGAAUUACUGGGCGUAAAGAGCUCGUAGGUGGUUUGUCGCGUUGUCCGUGAAAUUCCCUGGCUUAACUGGGGGCGUGCGGGCGAUACGGGCAGACUGGAGUACUGCAGGGGAGACUGGAAUUCCUGGUGUAGCGGUGGAAUGCGCAGAUAUCAGGAGGAACACCGGUGGCGAAGGCGGGUCUCUGGGCAGUAACUGACGCUGAGGAGCGAAAGCGUGGGGAGCGAACAGGAUUAGAUACCCUGGUAGUCCACGCCGUAAACGGUGGGUACUAGGUGUGGGUUUCCUU